This 747-nucleotide long non-coding RNA is filed under the name Homo sapiens (human). RNAcentral's name for it is "non-protein coding lnc-SH3BGRL-3:1". Lineage: Eukaryota; Metazoa; Chordata; Mammalia; Primates; Hominidae. The record is from RNAcentral.
AAUUAUUACUUGUGCUAUGAACAUGAAAUGCUAUGUGGAAGCUAACUUUUCUCAGAAGUACCAUACUAAUAUCAAGUACUUUGUGAAGAUGUGGAUCAGUAUUUGUUAGUCACAUUCCUAUUUUCAUCUUCCUUGGUGUUUCUAGCACUGGAAGUAACCAUGAAUGGAAUUGACCUUACAUUUGUUUCACUGUCAUUUUUUAUCUUUUUUGAAGAGCAUUAGUAGGCAUUCUUGUGCUGACUUUCUUAAUUAACAAAUGUGAUGUGAAUUCAAUCACCAGAAAGGACCCAUUUAUUAUAGCCUAUAGGGUACUGGGGGGAGCAAUUUGCUUCUACCUUGUUUUCCUGCUACCAGAGUUUUCCAGAAAGAAGCUCUUCAUUGCAGCAAACAUAGUCGUAAUCCUCUUUACUGUUUUUUUUUAAUGACCGCCCAUCCUCUCGUUCACUUACUAGAUGUGAGAAGAAGAAGAGAGACCUCUCCAGCUGUUAGUGAACACAUUCUCAUUAGGUUCUUUGAUCAUUUGCUGGCUGGGAUAGAAGAUAUAUCAGGACACUGGGGACAAUAUUACUGGAAAGACAAAUUGGAGUAUUUCAACAGCAGAUAUCUGCAGAUUUUGCUUGGAGAGUAUGACCAUCCCACAUCAAACAUCAAAGAAGCACUGUGCUUGUUUGUGAAAAGCUUGAGAGAAAACAUACCAUUGAGUUGGCAGAAGCAGGCCAGUUAAUACACACACCGUCUAGUACAUCU